UAUAGCUCAGUGGUAGAGUGUGUGCUUAGCAUGCAUGAGGUCCUGGUUUCAAUCCCCAGUA
Molecule: transfer RNA, 61 nt
Filed under: Camelus bactrianus (Bactrian camel)
Lineage: Eukaryota; Metazoa; Chordata; Mammalia; Artiodactyla; Camelidae
Also listed under: 3 other names
Rfam family: tRNA
About the family: Transfer RNA (tRNA) molecules are approximately 80 nucleotides in length.
Source: Rfam by way of RNAcentral